RNAcentral lists this transfer RNA (73 nucleotides) under Stegodyphus mimosarum. It matches the Rfam family "tRNA". From Rfam's summary of the family: Transfer RNA (tRNA) molecules are approximately 80 nucleotides in length. Their secondary structure includes four short double-helical elements and three loops (D, anti-codon, and T loops). Further hydrogen bonds mediate the characteristic L-shaped molecular structure. tRNAs have two regions of fundamental functional importance: the anti-codon, which is responsible for specific mRNA codon recognition, and the 3' end, to which the tRNAs corresponding amino acid is attached (by aminoacyl-tRNA synthetases). tRNAs cope with the degeneracy of the genetic code in two manners: having more than one tRNA (with a specific anti-codon) for a particular amino acid; and 'wobble' base-pairing, i.e. permitting non-standard base-pairing at the 3rd anti-codon position. The record is from Rfam by way of RNAcentral. Lineage: Eukaryota; Metazoa; Arthropoda; Arachnida; Araneae; Eresidae.
GCCUUCGUGGUGUAAUGGUCAGCACACUAGACGCGCAUUCGAGAGGUCUUAGGUUCGAAUCCCGGAGAGGGCA